AACGAACGCUGGCGGCAUGCCUAACACAUGCAAGUCGAACGGAACCUUCGGGAUUAGUGGCGGACGGGUGAGUAACACGUGGGAACGUGCCCUUUGGUUCGGAACAACUCAGGGAAACUUGUGCUAAUACCGGAUGUUCUCUUCGGGGGAAAGAUUUAUCGCCAUUGGAUCGGCCCGCGUCUGAUUAGCUAGUUGGUGAGGUAACGGCCUACCAAGGCGACGAUCAGUAGCUGGUCUGAGAGGAUGAUCAGCCACACUGGGACUGAGACACGGCCCAGACUCCUACGGGAGGCAGCAGUGGGGAAUCUUGCACAAUGGGCGAAAGCCUGACGCAGCCAUGCCGCGUGAAUGAUGAAGGUCUUAGGAUUGUAAAGUUCUUUCAGCGGGGACGAUAAUGACGGUACCCGCAGAAGAAGCUCCGGCUAACUCCGUG
Molecule: ribosomal RNA, 433 nt
Filed under: uncultured bacterium
Lineage: Bacteria
Description: partial 16S ribosomal RNA
Rfam family: Bacterial small subunit ribosomal RNA
Source: RNAcentral